CUAACUCCAUAGUCACCAACUAUUCCAUCUACCUAUGUUCUACCCAACAAUUUUGUAGAUAUAAAUACUUACACAGUUUAAAUCAUUUAACACCUGUAUAAAACUCCAAUUUCCAUGCCCAUCUCAAAUAGACAAAUAACAUAUAAACACAUAGCACGUAUUUCAUAGCAAAUACUUCAUAUUUAUGUGUUAGAAGAAAGUAACUACACGCUCACACAUAUAAACAACAAUAUACUUAAUACACUCAACCCAUACUUGUAUUAUUAUCGUGUUUAUGAAAGGUAGUAUACACUCACUUGAUCAGAAGAUGAUCGGACAACACUACGACUUGCAGAAGUAGUAUUCUUCGGUAGAUCUGGAAGAUCUCCACAAAAAUCGAACUUCUCGCGGGCAGAGCUUCGGCUCGGGAAUUUCACUUCUCGGGAUCUUCGGGGCCUCGGGACUUGCUUCGGGGCUCGGGAAUGAUACCGGGGCUUCGGGAUAAUUCUUGCACGAAAAACGAUGCAAAAACGCGAGAGAAAGAAGAGAAAUGAGCAAUUGAAUCGGCUGCACUCGACUCCCUUUUAUAUGGUCUGGAUCUACGAUUUACGCGAGGCGUACUCUUAGGUUACGCAGGGCGUAACCUGGAUAAGCCCGGUGACUCCUCCCUUGGAUAAUAUCGAAAAUUUAUAUUUAAAUUUAAUUUCGAAAAUAUUUAAUAAACUUCAAAAAUUCAUAUCUUCCUCAUACGAACUCCGUUUUCGACGUUCUUUAUAUCCACGCGUAGGUGAGACUACGAUCUACAACUUUCGUUUAGACUCCGUCGGCUAAUUUUGACUUUAUUUUUAUUAUUUAUUUUUAGUAGGCCGGGACAGGAAAACUCCGUUAUAAAAUCAUAACUUCUUCAUCCGACGUCCGUUUUCGCCUAUCUUUUUAUCGUUUUACUAAAAUUAAUGAGAUCUUCAAUUCUAAUUUAGAUUGUUUUGGCUAAAAACCGCUCAGUCUCAAAUCGAGCAUUCGGGGUGCAUACCGCUAAGUCGAAACUUAGAAAAAUCAUAACUUCCUCAUACGAAGUCAGAUUUGGACGUUUCUUUUUAUGCACGCUCAUCGUUUAACAUAUUCUACGACUUUCAUUUAGAUUGCUAAGGCUAAAUAUCGCUCUAACGUAAAUUCACUUUUUACGUCGCGCUGUGUCGUGCCGGUUCUGUCGCGAAACUUCGACAGGUCAUAACUUCUUUGUUAUAACUCGGAUUUUGGCGUUCUUUAUAUGCACGGAAACCUUGUAACAUAUACUACAACUUAGUUAGGAUUAUUCAUCCUAAAUAAUCUUCUAUCAAAAAGUCAUUUUUGACGCUUAUUGUCUCUAAAUUGACUAGCCCUGAUCUACGGGCGUUACAAUUAUCUCCCCCUUAGGAUGAUUACGUCCCGGAAUCAUCAACGAAAUAGGAUUCGCAUACUGACUCCAUAAGUUAUCUCUCCAUUCUAAGUAAUAACCCUGAUGGGUCGUGUCCCGAUGACCUCUCAUCAUAGUCGGACUCAAUUGAUAUGACCCCUAGGGUCGGAAUAACAACUAUCUUACUAGACAUUACCGAAACAAUGGUAAUGACAUACUUGAAUAAAACGGAAUCAAUUACUAGCUUCUUGAUAACCUUGUGACUUCCCCUGAUCCAAGCGUGAGUCCUGUGCUUCCGGUAGUAUAGAUCUCUACUACCAUUCACACCUACUCAUACUCGUCCCAAGUAUUGUCUCGCAGUUAACCAAGUCACCAUACAUAAAUCAUAUAAUCAUUCAACACAUCAGAUAACAAAACUAGGAUUUAUAUUAAUUCUUGAAACUAUUACACAAAAGUUCAAGUUCACCCUAUACUAUGCCUCUAACAGGCUAUGCUUCCUGAUACAGACUUUACCGACUUUAUAUAUUAAUAUGAAGUCUUCAUCCUUUAACCCUCCCAUCCCUUUCUGCUUCGUUGAGGAACAUGUUGAAUGCCCUUGGCUGUGGAGGUGUGUUUUUCUGUGGGCAGUCUUUAGAAAUAUGACCUUCUUCAUUACACCUAUAGCACAUCUUCUUGAUAGGUGCGCACUUGUUGGCGUAGUGCCCUGUCUUCCCACAUUUGUAGCAAGUCAUCUCCUCGCUACAUUUCCCGAAGUGUUUCUUCUUACACUUCUCACACCACUUAGCUUCAUCUCUUCCCCCAGAUUUCGAGAAUUUACUUUCUUUGUCGAUUAUUGAAGAUCCUUCACGCUUCCUUUUCUCUCCAACUUCAGCCCUUUCCAGACCCUUUUCUUUUAUUUGGGUCUCAACAUUUUUGGCUGCCCAGAUGGCGGCUUUCAGAGUGGUUGCUUGCUUGACUAUCGGACCAAAGUCCGCUGGUAAUCCAUUGGCAAACUUGUUGACCUUGGAAAGUUCAGUUGGAAUUAGGUAUGGAAUAAGCUUCAUCUUCUCCGUAAAGCUCGUAGCGUAUUCAGUAACGCUCAAUUUUCCUUUCUUCAGAUUCUGGAACUCAUUGUUGAUUUCCAGAAGAUCUUGCUCAGAGCAGUAUUGCAAUUUCAGUUGCACCACGAAUUCUUCCCAAGACAUCUUGCUAGCUUCCCCCUUAGGCAUCGAACCAGCCAGUAACUUCCACCAGCUCAAUACUCCAGAUUUUAACAGAGGGAUUGCAAGAGCGGUCUUCUGUCUGUUGCUACACUCGCAACUUUCAAACAUUGUCUCCAUUUCGGAGAUCCAGUCCAUGACUUGCACCGGUGUCGGGCUCCCAGAAAGACAUGGUGGUUUGGAUGCCAUGAAAUCCUUGUACUUGCAUCCACGUCCAUCAUUUCCCCUAUCCUGGUUGUUUUGGCGAACUAUUGGUGGGUUGGCUUGACCAACGGUCCCACUGUAGUUUCCUCCUUCAGACUGCCCUCCAUUUACUUCGGGCUCUUCAACUUGAAUUGACAAUUCCUCGCGAUUCUGCCUGAUCAGACGUCUGGUUUCUUCCAUCUGAUUAUUCAACAUUGCCUGGAUCAUCACUUGAACUCCGGCCAUUGUCAUUGGUUCAGGCGCUGCUGCUACAACAGGUAUUUGUUCAAUUACUGGUAUUUGAUUCCUGUUUUCAUCAGCAUUUCCAACUCCACUCCUCGUUCUCACCAUUUUUGAUCUAUACACCGAAUAAGGUGAAAUUAGAUCCUUAGUCACGAUAGAUAUUCAAAUCAUCCUUAUCACUCCGAAACGUUUACAUGUUAGUUCUAAUAUCGUAGACGCACGCUUAGAAUCCUAAACACAUAAGGUUUCCAGAUCCGGUCGGCAACAGACCAUAGAUCCGAACAAUUAACAUCAUAUAUGGCAAACAUAUAACAAUUAGCACAUAAUAGCAUUUUAGGCAAUUUUCCUAAAAUAAACUAGUGCCUGUGUCAAUUUAGGUGUACUACCUAAAAUAUAAUGGACACACUCAACUCACAAUCAUUGCUUAGCAUUCUAAGUUUAAGUCUAGAAAUAAAUCCAUAUUCCUAGUUCGCUUAAACUAAUGCUCUGAUACCAACUGUGACAUCCCCAAUUUCACGGCCAGAAAAGACCGAUUUGUUUAUGCUUUGUUUUAUAAAUCAGAGUGAUCGUUUAAAGAAAACGGUUGCGGAAUUUGUUCCCAAAAUAAAAUAUGAUAACCAUUUAUCAAAACAUUUCUCGAAAAGAAUGUAUUUUCAUUAAAUAAUAAAACCUCGGGAUGUCAUGUUCGUUACAGACCAAAAGCAUAAACAAUAUAAAAUAGAUCUUACAAUAGUUAUUUAUAACUACUGAUCUAUAAUCCCAAAAUCUCUCGUCAAGUCCACCAACUUAUACCCUUGUGCCAUUACCUGUAAUGAAAAGAAAACUGAGUGGGUCAGGCUUGGGAGCCUGGUGAGCAUAUAGGGUUUUCAACCCACAAUAAUAUAAUUAUUAUAUUUAAUCAGCAAACAAUCAACCCAAUUACCCAUCCCCAUUAUCUUCUUAAGGUUUUACCCUAAGAACCAACUAUCCUUCAUUCAUUUAUUCGUAAGGAAUUGGCACGAAUUCCAUUGCUGCCAAAGUUUAUUUAUCAAGUACUAAAUCCAUAGUUAUCAGGCGCUAACUCCAUAGUCACCAAGGUUCACUUAACAAGCGCUAACUCCAUAGUCGCCAAGGUUUACUCAACAAGCGCUAACUCCAUAGUCACCAAGGUUUACUCAACAAUAGGCGCUAACUCCAUAGUCACCAAGGUUCACUUAACAAGCGCUAACUCCAUAGUCGCCAAGGUUUACUCAACAAGCGCUAACUCCAUAGUCGCCAAGGUUUACUCAACAAGCGCUAACUCCAUAGUCGCCAAGGUUCAUCAAAUAGGCACGAAGUCACAUCGUCGCCAAGGUUUAUACAAUAGGCGCUAACUCCAUAGUCACCAACUAUUCCAUCUACCUAUGUUCUACCCAACAAUUUUGUAGAUAUAAAUACUUACACAGUUUAAAUCAUUUAACACCUGUAUAAAACUCCAAUUUCCAUGCCCAUCUCAAAUAGACAAAUAACAUAUAAACACAUAGCACGUAUUUCAUAGCAAAUACUUCAUAUUUAUGUGUUAGAAGAAAGUAACUACACACUCACACAUAUAAACAACAAUAUACUUAAUACACUCAAACCAUACUUGUAUUAUUAUCGUGUUUAUGAAAGGUAGUAUACACUCACUUGAUCAGAAGAUGAUCGGACAGCACUACGACUUGUAGAAGUAGUAUUCUUCGGUAGAUCUGGAAGAUCUUCACAAAAAUCGAACUUCUCGCGGGCAGAGCUUCGGCUCGGGAAUCGCACUUCUCGGGAUCUCCGGGGCCUCGGGACUUGCUUCGGGGCUCGGGAAUGAUACCGGGGCUUCGGGAUAAUUCUUGCACGAAAAACGAUGCAAAAACGCGAGAGAAAGAAGAGAAAUGAGCAAUUGAAUCGGCUGCAC
Molecule: long non-coding RNA, 4897 nt
Filed under: Lactuca sativa (garden lettuce)
Lineage: Eukaryota; Viridiplantae; Streptophyta; Magnoliopsida; Asterales; Asteraceae
Description: long non-coding RNA (LSAT_LNC002077)
Source: RNAcentral